This 500-nucleotide ribosomal RNA is filed under the name uncultured bacterium. RNAcentral describes it as "partial 16S ribosomal RNA". It matches the Rfam family "Bacterial small subunit ribosomal RNA", at positions 30 to 523 of the family's 1533-position model. The record is from RNAcentral.
AUUGAACGCUGGCGGCAUGCCUUACACAUGCAAGUCGAACGGCAGCACGGGAGCAAUCCUGGUGGCGAGUGGCGAACGGGUGAGUAACAUAUCGGAACGUGCCCAGUCGUGGGGGAUAACGCAGCGAAAGCUGUGCUAAUACCGCAUACGAUCUAUGGAUGAAAGCGGGGGAUCGCAAGACCUCGCGCGAUUGGAGCGGCCGAUAUCUGAUUAGGUAGUUGGUGGGGUAAAGGCCCACCAAGCCAACGAUCUGUAGCUGGUCUGAGAGGACGACCAGCCACACUGGAACUGAGACACGGUCCAGACUCCUACGGGAGGCAGCAGUGGGGAAUUUUGGACAAUGGGCGAAAGCCUGAUCCAGCCAUUCCGCGUGCAGGAUGAAGGCCCUCGGGUUGUAAACUGCUUUUGAACAGAGCGAAAAGGUUUCUACUAAUACUAGGAGCUCAUGACGGUACUGUAAGAAUAAGCACCGGCUAACUACGUGCCAGCCGCCGCAGUAA